ACUGCUCAGUAACACGUGGACAACCUACCCAAGAGUCAGGGAUAACCCCGGGAAACUGGGGAUAAGACCGGAUAGGCCAUUUCUGCUGGAAUGCUUAGUGGUUUAAAGGUAACGCUCUUGGAUGGGUCUGCGGCGGAUUAGGUUGACGCCGGUGUAACGUACCGGCGUGCCUGUAAUCCGUACGGGUUGUGGGAGCAAGAGCCCGGAGAUGGAUUCUGAGACACGAAUCCAGGCCCUACGGGGCGCAGCAGGCGCGAAAACUCUACAAUGCAGGCAACUGCGAUAGGGGGACAUCGAGUGAUACCCACCUUGGGUAUCUGUCCCACCGUCUAAAAAACGGUGGUUAGCAAGGGCCGGGUAAGACCGGUGCCAGCCGCCGCGGUAAUACCGGCGGCUCGAGUGGUGGCCGAUAUUAUUGAGUCUAAAGGGUCCGUAGCCGGCUCCGUGGGUCCCCCGGGAAAUCCAGCGGCUUAACCGUUGGUCGUCCGUGGGAUAUCGCGUUGCUUGGGACCGGGAGAGGUGGGAGGUACUCGGGGGGUAGGGGUGAAAUCCUGUAAUCCUCCGGGGACCACCGGUGGCGAAGGCGUCCCACCAGAACGGGUCCGACGGUGAGGGACGAAAGCUAGGGGCACGAACCGGAUUAGAUACCCGGGUAGUCCUAGCCGUAAACGAUGCCCGCUAGGUGUCACGACGGUCGUGAAUCGUCGUGGUGCCGUAGGGAAGCCGCGAAGCGGGCCACUUGGGAAGUACGGCCGCAAGGCUGAAACUUAAAGGAAUUGGCGGGGGAGCACA
RNAcentral lists this ribosomal RNA (792 nucleotides) under uncultured archaeon. RNAcentral describes it as "bacterial SSU rRNA". It matches the Rfam family "Archaeal small subunit ribosomal RNA", at positions 85 to 880 of the family's 1478-position model. The record is from RNAcentral.